Molecule: ribosomal RNA, 253 nt
Filed under: uncultured bacterium
Lineage: Bacteria
Description: partial 16S ribosomal RNA
Rfam family: Bacterial small subunit ribosomal RNA
Source: RNAcentral
UACAGAGGGUGCAAGCGUUAAUCGGAAUUACUGGGCGUAAAGCGUGCGUAGACGGUUAUGUAAGUCAGAUGUGAAAGCCCCGGGCUUAACCUGGGAAUGGCAUUUGAGACUGCAUAGCUAGGGUGCGGAAGAGGGAAGCGGAAUUUCCGGUGUAGCGGUGAAAUGCGUAGAUAUCAGAAGGAACAUCAGUGGCGAAAGCGGCUUCCUGGACCAGAACUGACGAUCAGGCACGAAAGCGUGGGGAGCAAACAGG